AUGCAGCAGGAGCAGGAAGAUUUGGGAAAGGAAAGGGAAGUUUUAAGUUUAAUUAAGAAGCGAAGUGGAAAACUCGGCGCUCUCACACGAAAGCGGAAUGAAAUUCACACUUUGAUCGAUAAUGGAGAGAAUACCACCGUCAUUGAAGAACACAUGAAAGUUUACAAUCGUUUCCUGGAGGAGUUUAUGGACGUACAAGUGGCUGUGCAAAGCUUAUUGAACGAGGACGAGAGAGAAUCUGACCACACCGACUGGUAUGAACCCAAAUUGAUAAGCUGCAGAGAAUUUAUUGAUGACAUAGAAACGUGGCUAAAACAAGACGCCUCGCAGGAUGCCGCUAAUAAUGUAAGCGCCGUGGAAAAUGUGUCUCACGCUGCAUCUCGUAAAAGCUAUGACGUAGAGCCCCACGAUAGCGUCUCACAGACCGCAAAACCCGCACGCCCCAGUAGCAAAGCAGCUGCGAGCAAGUCCUCUAGUUCAUCCUCUGCCAGUAGAAAAAGUAAAACCCUUUCAGAGAUGGCAAUUCAGGCCGAGCUGGAGCGCGUAACCCUGCUAAAGCAGGCUGACGCGUUACAAGAAAAACACGUGCUUGAACUUGAAGAAGCCCAAUUAAACGCAGUAAUGAAAGCCAAAAGAGAAACGCUGUCCGUUAAAACUAACUUGGCCAUCGCAAAGGCGAAGUCACAGGUGUUUAAAGAACAAGAAGAAACACAAAAAUCGAAAAGUCUAGCGUCCUCUGGAGCCUCUACACCCACACAAUUCAUAUCGCCCCAAAGAGCUAUGAAACAGACAAAAAUGUCACCGGCUCCCGUUCCGUUGUCUACCGUUGGACCUACUACGUCAGUCGCCCCCCCCAUAUAUGCAAAAAGCAAAGCAAAAACACGUCAUCUACAGCAAAGUGCAGACAGUAAUAAUGACCAACCCGAUUUAGCUGAAGCAAUGCGCAGGCAAAAUGAGAUUACUGCAAUGCUGAUUAAGCAGCAGAGACAGUCACUUUUACCACCCAUACAAGUACCAGUUUUUGAUGGUGAUCCCCUGCAAUUCAGGUCCUUUAUCAAAGCAUUUGAACAAGGCAUUGAGAGCAAGACAGAUGAUAUGCAGGUUAAGCUUUAUUAUUUAGAGCAAUUCACAUCUGGGCAGCCCAGAAAGCUGGUGCAGAGCUGCAUGCAUAUGAGCCCACAAACUGCAUUCGGAGAGGCUAAAAGGCAGUUGGAGUGGAACUUCGGAAGCAAAGUGAAAGUUACAGCUGCAUUUCUGAACAAGGCAUUGGAUUGGCCAGCCCUGAAAGCAGAUGACGGCGUAGGUGUAGCAUUAAGAUCAUACACAUUUUUCCUAAGAACCUGUUAUAACACAACGGAGGACGCCGGAUAUUUGGACGAAAUGGAAAACUCCUCACACAUGAAGGUGUUCGUCUCCAAGCUGCCGUUCAGGAUGCGUGAGUCCUGGAGGAUGAAAGUGUGCAGCAUCAGAGAGGAGCAAAAACGGAGAGUGAAAUUCAGAGACCUACUGGACUUCCUGGAAAGGCAAGUGAGAGCUGCAAUGGACCCCGUCUUCUGUGAAAUUCAAAAUACAAGAGCAAAAGCCACAACACCACCAACCCCCAAGUCAAUUGGAAAAGCCAAAGGCAGCAGCUUCGCCACCUCUGUUGCUCAGGUGCCACACCAGAGUGACACGCCCAACGUUGGAAAUGCAGGCAAAAUUCAGUGCUUGUUUUGCAAUGACGGCCACAUACUUGACAAGUGCACAACAUUCAAAAAGAAACCAAACAAAGACAAAAUUACGUUUUUACAGAGCAAAGGCGUGUGCUUUGGAUGCUUAGUACAAGGUCACUUAAGCAGGAACUGUCAAGAAAGGCUGACAUGCCGCACCUGCAGUAAGAAUCAUCCAACAGUUCUGCACAUCGAACCAAAACCUCAGAACACCCCAGCCGACCAUGAAACACAAACGGUCUCCAACGCACUUGUGUCCUUGGACUCUGAAGGUGAUACUGGGGUCGGUUCUAAAGAAUGCUCGCUGUCUGUUCUACCUGUCAAAGUCAGACUAAACAAAAGCACAAAAGUAAUCGAAACAUACGCUUUCUUGGACCCAGGCAGCUCAGCUACAUUCUGUACCGAGUCAUUAAUGACUCAGCUGAACGCACCUGGACAAAAAAUGGACAUACUGCUGAAGACGAUGGGGCAGGAGCAGUAUGUGAGUAGUCAUAAGAUCUCUGGCUUGGAAGUAGCUGCCUUAAAUGACAACAAAUUCUUGAGACUGCCAGAUGUGUACACUCAAAAGUCAAUCCCUGUCACGAAAGACAACAUACCCAAAGAAGAAGACCUUAAAAAAUGGCCUUACUUACAAGAAGUGGAACUGACGCCCAUCAAUGCAAGUAUUGGACUGCUGAUUGGUGCAAACGCACCUAAAGCACUGGAACCAUGGAAAAUAGUCAACAGUGAAGGUAAUGGACCCUACGCUGUCCAGACUCGUCUUGGAUGGGUCAUCAACGGCCCACUUGGACAAGAAGAUAGCGACGACAGCGAUACAGCUUCCGUACAGGUGAAUCGCAUCUCAUUAGGAAAAUUGGAAGAAAUGUUGAUUAAGCAGUAUAAUCAAGAUUUUGUCGAACAGCACUGUGACGAACACGCUGAAUUGUCUGUGGAGGACAAACAGUUAAUGGAAAUAAUGUCAAGCUCAGCAACACUUACCAAUGGUCAUUACUACCUGAAGCUGCCAUUCCGCGACUCCAAUGUAGUGAUGCCCAACAACAAACAAGUCGCCCAGCAGAGGGCGCAACAGCUGCUGAAAAGGUUCAAAAGGGACCAGUCAUUUUGUGAGGAAUACAAAGGAUUCAUGCAAGAUGUUAGCACAGAGGGAUACGCCGAGAUCAUACCUCAAGAUCAGCUGAGCCAUGAGGAAGGUAAAGUCUGGUUCUUGCCGCAUCACGGAGUCUACCACCCCCGCAAGAAAACAUUACGCGUGGUGUUCGACUGUGCCUCAUGUUUUGCUGGAACAUCCCUGAACAAACAGCUCCUCCAAGGCCCCGACCUGACAAACACCUUGUUAGGUGUGCUCACCCGCUUUCGUCAGGGUCCAAUGGCACUAAUGACUGACAUCAAAGGAAUGUUCCAUCAAGUCAGAGUGGCUGAGGAACACGCAAAUUACUUGCGCUUUCUGUGGUGGCCUAACGGCGACCUAACCAAAGACCUUGCUGAGCACAGAAUGUUAGUCCACAUCUUCGGAGCAGUGUCCUCCCCCAGCUGUGCUACAUACGCCCUGCUAAAAACUGCUGAGGAUAAUGCACAUCUGUAUCCAGAGGAGGCCAUUAGCACCAUCAGAAAGAAUUUCUAUGUCGAUGAUGCCCUCAAGUCAGUUCAUUCAGUCGAACAAGCCACCUCUCUCUACCAGCAACUCACCGAGGUAUGUGCUAAAGGAGGGUUCAAGCUCAAUAAGUGGAUAUGCAGUGACCGCUCUGUUCUCUCUGAGAUCCCCGAAGCAGAUUGA
This 3483-nucleotide long non-coding RNA is filed under the name Gadus morhua (Atlantic cod). RNAcentral's name for it is "lncRNA (ENSGMOG00000030089.1)". The record is from RNAcentral. Lineage: Eukaryota; Metazoa; Chordata; Actinopteri; Gadiformes; Gadidae.